CUAACUAUCUACUACCUUAGCUAGAAUCUAAGGCCCACUCG
RNAcentral lists this transfer RNA (41 nucleotides) under Andrias davidianus (Chinese giant salamander). Its description in RNAcentral is "partial tRNA-Ser". The record is from RNAcentral. Lineage: Eukaryota; Metazoa; Chordata; Amphibia; Caudata; Cryptobranchidae.